Molecule: ribosomal RNA, 253 nt
Filed under: uncultured bacterium
Lineage: Bacteria
Description: partial 16S ribosomal RNA
Rfam family: Bacterial small subunit ribosomal RNA
Source: RNAcentral
GACAGAGGAUGCAAGCGUUAUCCGGAAUGAUUGGGCGUAAAGCGUCUGUAGGUGGCUUUUCAAGUCCGCCGUCAAAUCCCAGGGCUCAACCCUGGACAGGCGGUGGAAACUACCAAGCUGGAGUACGGUAGGGGCAGAGGGAAUUUCCGGUGGAGCGGUGAAAUGCGUAGAGAUUGGGAAGAACACCAGCGGCGAAAGCGUGCUACUGGGUCUGCACUGACACUGAGGGACGAAAGCUAGGGGAGCGAAAGGG